CCAGCACUGUCUCCCGAGGACCUGAGGAGCAGCAGGAGGUGCCAGUGGCUUCGGAGGAUGCAGUGGGAAGGCUGACAGCAGGUUCCAAGCAACGCCGGAGGAGAAGCAAGGUGGCACAGUGCAGCGCCGUCUCUGGCAGGUACUUGAUCAGACCUACGCGUGCCUCAGUUUCCUCAUCUGUGAGCAGAGAGGGUAUGCAGUACCUACUUUGUAAGAUUUUCCACGUGCAGAGCACCUAGGACAGAGCCCGGCACUGUGCCUGCCUACAAAGUCAAACUGAACACUCCAUUCGCAGCAGCUGAAAAGUAGCAGCGACCCAAGCUCCUGCGGAGGGAGGGACGGCCACAGUGGAACACGAUGCAGGUCCAGGGUAACAGGAAGGACGUUGGGACACGGUCUGCAGUGUGGGUGAGCCUGGCCACGACAGGACAAGUCCUGUGUCCUUCCCCUGGC
RNAcentral lists this long non-coding RNA (453 nucleotides) under Cavia porcellus (domestic guinea pig). Its description in RNAcentral is "lncRNA (ENSCPOG00000030906.1)". The record is from RNAcentral. Lineage: Eukaryota; Metazoa; Chordata; Mammalia; Rodentia; Caviidae.